GUUUUGACGUUACCGACAGAAUAAGCACCGGCUAAUUCUGUGCCAGCANCCGCGGUAAUACAGAGGGUGCAAGCGUUANUCGGAAUUACUGGGCGUAAAGCGCGCGUAGGUGGUUUGUUAAGUUGGAUGUGAAANCCCCGGGNUCAACNUGGGAACUGCAUCCAAAACUGGCAAGCUAGAGUACGGUAGAGGGUGGUGGAAUUUCCUGUGUAGCGGUGAAAUGCGUAGAUAUAGGAAGGAACACCAGUGGCGAAGGCGACCACCUGGACUGAUACUGACACUGAGGUGCGAAAGCGUGGGGAGCAAACAGGAUUAGAUACCCCUGGUNGUCCACGCCGUAAACGAUGUCAACUANCCGUUGGNAUCCUUGAGAUUUUAGUGGCGCAGCUAACGCAUUAAGUUGAC
Molecule: ribosomal RNA, 405 nt
Filed under: uncultured bacterium #0319-6K24
Lineage: Bacteria; Pseudomonadati; Pseudomonadota; Gammaproteobacteria
Description: bacterial SSU rRNA
Rfam family: Bacterial small subunit ribosomal RNA
Source: RNAcentral